CGGAUAGCUCAGUCGGUAGAGCAUUGGCC
This 29-nucleotide non-coding RNA is filed under the name Bombyx mori (domestic silkworm). RNAcentral also lists the same sequence under 1 other name. Lineage: Eukaryota; Metazoa; Arthropoda; Insecta; Lepidoptera; Bombycidae. The record is from RNAcentral.